UUUUAGGAGUUGAGGAUACAGGGGGCUAAAAUAGUUGUUGCUGGCCUUGUCAUGAGGCAUUGUGCACACUACCUCUGGGGACCUCUUCGAACUAAGGGUGUGUCUAUCAUCUCAUCUCUCACCUGUGCACCUAAUGUAGGUCUGCAUGGUUUUGGUAAAACAGAACUGUGCCAAGUACCUAUGUCUUCAAAUACAUCUUCGUGUAGAAAGUCAUUGAAUGUUUACUAUCAUUGAGUCACGACUCUUAAGAGACGUGGGUCUUUGAGAUAUAAAAAAAAAGUUUAUUACAACUUUCAGCAAUGGAUCUCUUGGCUCUCGCAUCGAUGAAGAACGCAGCGAAACGCGAUAUGUAAUGUGAAUUGCAGAUCUACAGUGAAUCAUCGAAUCUUUGAACGCACCUUGCGCUCCUUGGUAUUCCGAGGAGCAUGCCUGUUUGAGUGUCAGUAAUUUCUCAACCCCUUUCAAUUAACUUUGGAUGGGAGCUUGGAUAGUGGGGGUUUGCAGGAAACUUGGAUCUUUUCUUUAACUAGAAAAAGUCUAGGAUUCGGGCUCUCCUGAAAUACAUUGGCUUGCGGGUCUACUUUCGACUUUGUGCGAUAAGGCUUUCGGUGUGAUA
RNAcentral lists this ribosomal RNA (616 nucleotides) under uncultured fungus. RNAcentral's name for it is "eukaryotic LSU rRNA". The stretch from base 289 to 443 matches the Rfam family "5.8S ribosomal RNA". Lineage: Eukaryota; Fungi. The record is from RNAcentral.